CACUCCUGCGGGAGGCAGCAGUGGGGAAUUUUGGACAAUGGGCGAAAGCCUGAUCCAGCAAUGCCGCGUGAGUGAAGAAGGCCUUCGGGUUGUAAAGCUCUUUUGUCAGGGAAGAAACGGUGAAAGCUAAUAUCUUUUGCUAAUGACGGUACCUGAAGAAUAAGCACCGGCUAACUACGUGCCAGCAGCCGCGGUAAUACGUAGGGUGCAAGCGUUAAUCGGAAUUACUGGGCGUAAAGCGUGCGCAGGCGGUUUUGUAAGUCUGAUGUGGAAUCCCCGGGCUCAACCUGGGAAUUGCAUUGGAGACUGCAAGGCUAGAAUCUGGCAGAGGGGGGUAGAAUUCCACGUGUAGCAGUGAAAUGCGUAGAUAUGUGGAGGAACACCGAUGGCGAAGGCAGCCCCCUGGGUCAAGAUUGACGCUCAUGCACGAAAGCGUGGGGAGCAAACAGGAUUAGAAACCCGUGUAGUCCCAUGA
RNAcentral lists this ribosomal RNA (475 nucleotides) under uncultured organism. Its description in RNAcentral is "partial 16S ribosomal RNA". It matches the Rfam family "Bacterial small subunit ribosomal RNA", at positions 334 to 800 of the family's 1533-position model. The record is from RNAcentral.